Molecule: long non-coding RNA, 5759 nt
Organism: Rattus norvegicus (Norway rat)
Lineage: Eukaryota; Metazoa; Chordata; Mammalia; Rodentia; Muridae
Source: RefSeq, a predicted model, not a curated record
GCAGACUCAGGUGAAAGGAUGUUUAGCAAGCAUGCGAAAGGACAAGUGAUGAAGAAUUCUUCCCUAAAAGCAAGCAUGAAUUGGUUCACCUUACACCUCAUUGCUGAGCUCCGUCUGUCAUGAUUCCACAGAAAGAAACUUUUGGUGGUGCUCUGGUAACUUCUUCCUCAGACCUGGGCCAAUUGGCAGAGCAAUGUCAGCUGAUACAGACUCACAUGGAUAAGACACACUCAGUGGACUGAACUGGACUGCUGGUAUAGUCAUGAAGUGUUUUCAAGCGGAUCAAGCUGCUGUUGCCGAAUCCUGUGAACUGAACUGCUGAUUUCCUGACAGUGCAGAUGGGAUUUGCCCCAAAGAACAAUUUCUAAACAGGCCCAUUUCCCCUGCAUCCUAAUAACCUUUCUUUUUUGCUACCUCUGGUGGUUGGUGGGCUGGAAGGGAAGUUGAAGCAUUUAAGAACCCAUAUUAGGGGCUGGAGAGAUGGCUCAGCGGUUAAGAGCACUGACUGCUCUUCCAGAGGUCCUGAGUUCAAUUCCCAGCAACCACAUGGUGGCUCACAACCAUCUGUAAUGUGAUCCGAUGCCCUCUUCUGGUGUGUCUGAAGACAGCGACAGUGUACUCACAUACAUGAAAUAAAUAAAUCUUUAAAAAAAAAAAAAAGAGAACCCAUAUUAAAAGUGGGUUUUGAAAAAUGUAAGCCAACACUGCUCUGCUUUGCCAUGAGGAGUCAGUUUAAACAGGAAUGACCCGGAGUCUUAAGCCAGGUGUCUCCCCACUUCCACCGUAUCAGUCUGACUGCCAACUGAGCCAUUUUCUUAUUGGGAUGCACCAGAUGUCCAGGGACCAGAUCCUGCUAGAAUAGUCAGGCUGGGUUACAUUGUCUAAACUCUAGAGGAUGUGUCUCUUGGAGAAAGAAGACCCUAGAUUUUAGCUCAAAACCCACUUCUGUAGGGAGGAGCUUCCUAUUUGCAGCCAACAUUUGCAGUUUUAAGUCUUGCUGGGAGUUUAAGGGCUGUGCAGGAUUGGAAAGAUGGCUCACUGGCUAAGAGCACUGGCUGCUCUUCCAGAGGACCGGGGUCCAACUCCCAGCACCCACAUGGCAACCAACACCUGUCUGUAACUCCAGUUCCAAGGCUUCUGACAUCCUCACACAGACAUACGUAUGGGCAAGACACCAAUGAACAUGAAAUAAAUUAUCUAAGAGGGGGCUUUGCUCUAUUCCCAGAACCUCUCCUUCCAGCCCAUCCUUUCCCAGGUAUUGUUAAGAUCUUAGAGCAUUGUACCGCCUUCCUCCUCCUGAGGGGGCUCUGACCGUCAAUGGCUGCUGGGGUAGAGAGUCAGUUUCUUCAGGGAUGCAGCCCCUGGAAGGCUGCCCAUGUUCCAGAGGGUGGUGCUGUACCCAUGUACACAUAAGCAGCACUACUCGAAGUCAGUGAGUUCAAAAGAGAACAUGAAAUUGAGAAGAAAUUGGAGCAGUCUGGGAGGAGUUGGAGGACAGAGUGCAAGGCAGAAAUAAUCAAAAUAUAUUGUGGAGAUGUAUGAAAUUUCCAACUGAUAAAUAAUACAUUUAAAAACUCUCUCUCUCUCUCUCUCUCUCUCUCUCUCUCUCUCUCUCUCUCUCUGUAAGACACACACACACACACACACACACACACACACACACACACAAACACACACCACUAUAGUACCCAGUAAUUACAGGAGCAUGUUGAAAUCUUCCCACAUGUCCAAAUCCUUACAAAUGACUGUGGCACACAUUUUUCUUUUUCUUUUUCUUUUUUUAUAAAGGCCGUGUGUGUGUGUGUGUGUGUGUGUGUGUGUGUGUGUGUGUGUGUGUGUGUCUGUGUGUGUGUCUGUGUGUGUGUCUGUGUGUGUGUUUCAUCUGGGAACUAAAUGGUCUAAGGCAGGGAAGAAGGCCCACACUGGGAUUUUUUUUUUUUAAGAUUUAUUUAUUAUAUUUAAGUACACUGUAGCUGUCUUCAGACACACCAGAAGAGGGCAUCAGAUCUCAUUUCAGAUGGUUGUGAGCCACCAUGUGGUUGCUGGGAUUUGAACUCAGGACCUCUGGUAGAGCAGUCAGUGCUCUUAACCACUGAGUCAUCUCUCUAGCCCCCAGACACACAUUUUUCUUAUGAAAUACAAUAUGGUAGAAAUUUUAAUUUUCUCCUCCCAGAAACACACUAGAAGUUUCUAAAAAUCUACAUUUUGAAAUGAAGAUCAAAGAGAUUAAGCUAGCUGCAUGAAAUGUUGGGUCGUUACUCCAGCUCACUUACUCAGCUUGGAGUCCGUUCUCACAGGCAGUCUCUCCUUAUCAACCUCAACCACUCUAUAAGAAGUAUCAUCCGGGUUCUAGAAGAAAGACUUCUUCUAGCUAAAGUAAUGAAUGAGUAAGUGAGUGGAUGAAUGGAUAUGUAUACGUGGAUGAAUGAAUGAAUGAAUGAAUGAAUGAAUGCAUGAGCAAGUAAAUAGUGAAUGAAUAAGAUAUGAAGGGAAUAAUUGGAAGUAUGAAUGAGUAAAUGAGUGUAUGUGAGUGUAUAGUGAGUGGAUGGAUGGAUGGAUGGAUGGAUGGAUGGAUGGAUGGAUGGACGGACGUAGGAACAUACAUAUUUACUCAGAUCCUGGAGUAAAAAUCUCAGUUUUCCUUCCUACCUGUUCUCUACUACUUCCAUUGAGACCUGUUCCUCUACCUUUAUUUCCAGAAAGCUCCUAACAGUUACGCUGGUGGGCCCCAGUGCACCUAACUCCUAGUAAACUGUAAUAUAAGAGUAGUUAGUGCACUAGUGGCCUUGGAUGGAGGGAAACAGACAGACUGGAAGGACAGGGGAGACAAACCACUGCUGUCGUGAAUGAGAACAAUCUACAUGUAUUAACUUUGCCUUUUUCUCUGUCAGCUUUCCAUAGAGUCCGUGAAGAGCGGCCUCAUGUUUUAAAAGCUGGGACCUAUGUUACCCACAAGGGUAUACAGCACACUGUCUAUAACCCACCGUGUGUUGAGAGGGUGUUUGUGUUCCAGUCUGACUGAUACCACAGUGAAAUGGAUAUACACCCGUUUGCACAAAUGUAUAAGUUACAGGGACAGAGAGGAGGAGAAAGGCCGUGGGAGAAGAGGAAGCAGCCAUGAGAGGAGAUGGACCGUGAAGAAGUCUAGACUAAGAGACAUAACCACAAAACUCUAAGACAUCGCUGGAAAGGACCUCACACCAUGAUCCUGACAACGCCUAUGACAGACGGGAUCAGGAUAUGGACAUGCCACUCCCACCUUAAGCCUGCCAGAAGAGAGACGAUCCAGCAGUCAAGGUUCCAUCCGAGGAAACUUCCAGGCGAAUAGCCACAAGAAUGAUAGAAGGUCACCCCACACCCUGUCGAUCUGCUGAAACUGUGACUCCAGUGCUCCUGAUCCUGCUCGCUUGCUGCUUGCUGUUUACGCUUUGAGCUUUUUGAGACCAGCCAGUAGCGCCCUUCUUGCACUUGGGUACCAGCAGGGGGCGAUACAGCAAGUUCACAGUGGGUGGCAAGAAGGCUAAUUGGAUUGCUGGUACUUAACUCCUCUCUCCCCGAACUUAACACCGAACUCUUGGUUGUCUGACAGUGACCCUGCAAUGGAAAUAAGAUACCCCCGGCCUCUUCCCACCUCUGGAAUUGCACUGUAACCCCCACUGUUGCAGGAUACAUGCUGCCACCAGAGAAUGCUUGGUGAGCUUGUACCUCAGGGCUUACUCCAUGCAUUAUGACCUGGUUGUAAAUAGAACUGAGGAUCUCUAAGCUCUAAUACAGCUUGUACCCAAAGUGACUUAUUAUUCAGGGGAGCAUGUCUUCAACCAACUGGCACCUCCAAACAAUCGAGUUAAAAGUGACUAUUUCUGCUGUGUUUCUAGGUUCUCUCCUUGGCAUAGGGCUGGCUGGGGCUGCUAGUGCAAGGGCCUCAGCCCUAAUACUCCAAAAUAAAAAUCGAAAGGCCCUAUGGAUAGCGACAGGUACAGAUAUAUAGGAGAUGGAAAAGUCCAUCCUGACCCUGCAGGAUUCCCUAUCCUCCCUGGCAGAAGUAGUCCUACAGAAUAGAAGACUCGCUGUUCUUCCACAGGGAGGACUCUAUGCAGCAUGUUGUUUCUAUGUUGACCACUCAGGGGCCAAAGAAUCCAUGGCCUUAGUCAGGAAGAGACUACAAGACAGCGCCUACUGAUGCUAGCUUCAACUUUUGGUCCCCACAUAAUCAAUGCUUUAGUUAGAGUUGUCAAGGAACGGAUUUAUUCUCAAACAACACCACCAGCCCAUAGAAACAUCUCAAGGACUCAAGAUGGCCCAAAACUGAAGGGGGAAAUGUGAAGGCUAGCUGGGCUGACUCCAUGACAGGGUUCAGUCUGCAGUUUAGCACUGGGCAAGUCCAUGCAUCAGAAGCUGCCUCUCUGUCUAGCCUGAGGCAAGGACAAUGGGUCAGCAGCAGUUUGCAGACUUCCUCAGCGACAGUUUCCAGUCCCCAUACUCUGGUAAUGGAAUGUCCCUAGAGAGGGGAUAAGGUAAAGGUCAUCCAUCCAGGAAUCCCCUAAUGUGCUUUAAAUCAGGCCUGUGAGCUCACUUGGUGAUCUCUCUGUCUUGGUAAUGGGAGGCCCCAGCGUGCUGGACUUCUGCAGAAUAAAACCCUCUUUGCGUUUACAUACUAUCCGAGUCUGGGGUGUCAGUCUUCAGUGGCGAAUCAUGGGCCCUUACAGGAGCAGUCAUGUCCUUUCUGUUUUUAUCUCUUUUUAAAUUCAGUUUCCAUCCUCAGCUUUCUGCAGAAGGAGGCUCCACCCCAUGUUGAGUCUGCUUGGCAGCUGCAGAGGACAGUUUGUACAGACUUUGAGAAGGAAAGUCAUUUGCAUUGUCCCCUGAUGCCCUUUUCAGGUGCAGGGGAGGCUUCCUCCCAUUUUUGUUCAUUACCAUGAAUCUUUUCAGGUUUUCUCUACACAGAUAUAGGAAGUGGAGCAUAAAUCUGUCUCCCUUCUUCAGAAGCCAUUGACUCAUCCAUAUCCAGAACCAUGGUCCUGGUCUUUAGUAUCAAUUCUCUAGAAUAAGCACCAGAAGUAUCCUUGGCAAACGGGUGCAAACCUGUGCCACCUGAAAAACCCUGUCCACAGAAAGGAAGCAUCUCUCUUCAUCAGUCUUCCUUAAAAUGCAGUCUGUUGGGAUGGAGAGAUGGCUCAGUGGUUAAGAGCACUGACUGCUCUUCCAGAGGUCCUGAGUUCAAGUCCCAGCACCCACAUGGUGGCUCACAACCAUCUGUAAUGGGAUCUGAUGCCCUCUUCUGGUGUGCAUGAAGUCAGCGACAGUGUAAAAGAGCCAGAGUUGGGGUCAAUCUAAGGCCAGUGGAAAAUUCCACCACAAACCUCCAAAAACAAAGACUCCUCCCUUCCAGGGAGGGUAGGGCUAGUUUAGUUCCUGACUUCCAAUCAUCACCCCCGCCCCCUGAAAGUCCAGAAUGGUUCACUGACCACGAGUCAGUUUGAAGGACACUUCGCCCCAUCAAUAGUACCCUGCCUAGUUACCAUUGUUUAAAUUUUGCCCCAAUUGUUUGCAGGUAUAUAACUCCCUGUUAGAAUCUGCUCAAGGUCAUCUCCCCCUUAAGUGGGAUGACCCCGACAUGUUGGAAUGAUUAAACUACUCUUGCUUUUGCAUCAAUCAUCAUCUCUGUGAGUCUCAUUCAAGAGAUCCUGGAAGAGGUUCAACUCGGACCUCACAAGUGUACCCACAUACAUGAAAUAAAUAAAUUUUUUUUAAAAAAAAAA